RNAcentral lists this long non-coding RNA (290 nucleotides) under Manihot esculenta (cassava). RNAcentral describes it as "long non-coding RNA (MESC_LNC005816)". The record is from RNAcentral. Lineage: Eukaryota; Viridiplantae; Streptophyta; Magnoliopsida; Malpighiales; Euphorbiaceae.
GCCAGCAAGCGAGGAUCUGAAGCCUCCGCAACUCCACCAAACAUCCGCUCUCGAAUUAUCUCCGCGACCACGCUCGCGGGUGAUUGAUGGGUGAUGUCCUCUGCGUUAAGAAUGUCAUUAUCAGGGGCAGAGAGCAGAGGCACCACCGAGGUCUUCUUCUUCUCGAGCGGAGGCAGAGCUGGGGCAACAUGUCCGGAGGCCCGAGGUCUCUUUGGAACUGGGGCAGGAGCGUCGGAAAGAGGAGGACGCUUGCUCCCAGCCCCCUUUGCCAUGCCCUCCGAGGCAACCAA